CUUUGGAACAAGUGAUCAGAUUCCUAUUUCUCUUUCCCUGUAGUUUGGCUUUUCUUGUGAGGGGCCUGGAUUUGCAAUGGACAUAUUUGACAUCUGAAAGGAAACUCUGGUUUGACCUUCAUUGGCAGAGAUUCCUUGAAAUAAGGAUAGUAUCUUUCUCAAAAUGUGUACUGGAGACAGCAUUGGGAAGAAUUUAACUUCAACCUGUCAAGAUACCUUCUUUGAACUGCUUUCAGAGAAUGCUGAUACCACAAUAAUCAAUAAGAGCCAGCUACGAACAAUGUAUCCUAAUUUGGGUUUAAAAUAAA
Long non-coding RNA from Sciurus carolinensis (gray squirrel), 308 nucleotides. RefSeq lists it as uncharacterized. NCBI's taxonomy places the organism in Eukaryota, Metazoa, Chordata, Mammalia, Rodentia, Sciuridae. The transcript has 3 exons. The record is from RefSeq and is a predicted model, not a curated record.